GUCGCCAUCAUAGACGCAGUGACAAGUGUACUCGGUGCUCCGCAUAAUUACAGAUUUCCAAGAAUUUCACGAGGUAGAAUACAGAGCAUUGAAUACACCAAUUUAUACAUCUCUUCGAUACGAUGGAACUUUAUUGCGAUCGCGCGCGUAGCAAUGAAAUAAUCGAGUGUUCGUGUCGCU
This is a long non-coding RNA of Vespula pensylvanica (western yellowjacket), 180 nucleotides long. RefSeq lists it as uncharacterized. The record is from RefSeq and is a predicted model, not a curated record. NCBI's taxonomy places the organism in Eukaryota, Metazoa, Arthropoda, Insecta, Hymenoptera, Vespidae. The transcript has 3 exons.